GACGAACGCUGGCGGCGUGCUUAACACAUGCAAGUCGAACGGAAAGGCCCUGCGUUUGUGGGCUGCUCGAGUGGCAAUCGGGUGAGUAACACGUGAGCAACCUAACCUUGACUUUGGUAUAACUUCACGAAACUGGGGCUAAUCUCGGAUAGGAUCUCCCGCUGCAUGGUGGGGGGUGGAUAGUUGCGGCGGGAGCGGUUGGACUCGCGGCUUUUCGACUGGUUGGUGGGGUAGUGGCUUGCCCAGGCUUAGGCGGAUAGCCGGCAUGAGAGGGUGACCGGCGUCAAGGGGACUGAGAGACGGGCCAGACUCCUACGGGAGGCAGGAGUGGCGAGUAUUGCACAAUGAGCGGGGGCCGGAUGAAGAGACGCGGCGUGUGGGAUGCCGGCCUUCGGGGGGAAAAAAGCAUUAGCCUAUGACCCAGCGUGUGUGACGGUACCCGGUAAAGAAGCACCGGCUAACUGCGUG
This 468-nucleotide ribosomal RNA is filed under the name uncultured bacterium. Its description in RNAcentral is "partial 16S ribosomal RNA". It matches the Rfam family "Bacterial small subunit ribosomal RNA", at positions 28 to 507 of the family's 1533-position model. The record is from RNAcentral.